This 460-nucleotide ribosomal RNA is filed under the name uncultured bacterium. RNAcentral describes it as "partial 16S ribosomal RNA". It matches the Rfam family "Bacterial small subunit ribosomal RNA", at positions 338 to 795 of the family's 1533-position model. The record is from RNAcentral.
CCUACGAGCGGCAGCAGUGAGGAAUAUUGGUCAAUGGGCGCGAGCCUGAACCAGCCAAGUAGCGUGAAGGAUGACUGCCCUACGGGUUGUAAACUUCUUUUAUAAAGGAAUAAAGUGAGGCACGUGUGCCUUUUUGUAUGUACUUUAUGAAUAAGGAUCGGCUAACUCCGUGCCAGCAGCCGCGGUAAUACGGAGGAUCCGAGCGUUAUCCGGAUUUAUUGGGUUUAAAGGGACCGUAGAGGGGUGUUUAAGUCAGUUGUGAAAGUUUGCGAUUCAACCGUAAAAUUGCAAUUGAUACUGGUAGUCUUGAGUACAGUUGAGGUAGGCGGAAUUCGUGGUGUAGCGGUGAAAUGCUUAGAUAUCACGAAGAACUCCGAUUGCGAAGGCAGAUUACUAAACUGCCACUGACAUUGAUGCUCGAAAGUGUGGGUAUCAAACAGGAUUAGAUACCCGAGUAGUC